RNAcentral lists this ribosomal RNA (660 nucleotides) under Gnetum gnemon. Its description in RNAcentral is "eukaryotic LSU rRNA". It matches the Rfam family "Eukaryotic large subunit ribosomal RNA", at positions 28 to 678 of the family's 3401-position model. Lineage: Eukaryota; Viridiplantae; Streptophyta; Gnetopsida; Gnetales; Gnetaceae. The record is from RNAcentral.
CUGAAUUUAAGCAUAACUAAGCGGAGGAAGAGAACUUACGAGGAUUCCCCUAGUAACGGCGAGCGAAUCGGGAAAAGCCCAGCGUGAAAAUCUGGCGGCGGUCGCCGCCCGAAUUGUAGUCUGCAGAAGCGUCCCCUGCGGCGGACCGAGCCUAAGUCCCCUGGAACGGGGCGCCGGAGAGGGUGACAGCCCCAUCGGGUUCGGACCCUGCUGCAUCACGGGGCGCUAUCGGCGAGUCGGGUUGUUUGGGAAUGCAGCCCUAAGCGGGUGGUAAAUUCCGUCCAAGGCUAAAUACGCGCGAGAGACCGAUAGCGAACAAGUACCGCGAGGGAAAGAUGAAAAGGACUUUGAAAAGAGAGUUAAAAAGUGCUUGAAAUUGUCGAGAGGGAAGCGGAUGGAGGUCAACGUUGCCUGCCGGCCGGACGUGGAACGGAGCGCGUAUGCUUCGGUCCGCCGCUCGGUCCGGUAGGCGAGUCCGCGUGGAUCGUUGCUGCGGCACAAGCGUGCGUGGCUGGCUGCGCACGUGCUGGCGUUGCGACGGUCGAGGGUUGAAGCGUGCGUCCCUUCGGGGGGCGGGCCUCUUGGCACCAGCACGCUCGGGACGUGGAUUCUGUGGGCUUUCCAUUCGACCCGUCUUGAAACACGGACCAAGGAGUCUAA